This 348-nucleotide ribosomal RNA is filed under the name Mantidactylus melanopleura. Its description in RNAcentral is "partial 16S ribosomal RNA". It matches the Rfam family "Bacterial large subunit ribosomal RNA", at positions 2085 to 2597 of the family's 2925-position model. The record is from RNAcentral. Lineage: Eukaryota; Metazoa; Chordata; Amphibia; Anura; Mantellidae.
AAGACCCCAUGGAGCUUCAAACCCAACUACACCCCUAGCUCUUAUAGCCCCACAACCCCCCUAGGCGCCGUGUGCUUGGUUUUAGGUUGGGGCGACCGCGGAGUACAAUAAAACCUCCACAAUGAAUGGGAACACCCCCUUAUCUGAGGGCCACACCCCCUAAGAAUUAGAACACUAACAUAAAAUGAUCCAUUACUUGAUCAAUGAACCAAGUUACCCUGGGGAUAACAGCGCAAUCCAUUUCAAGAGCCCCUAUCGACAAAUGGGUUUACGACCUCGAUGUUGGAUCAGGGUACCCCAGUGGUGCAGCAGCUACUAACGGUUCGUUUGUUCAACGAUUAAAACCCU